This 209-nucleotide unclassified non-coding RNA is filed under the name Hevea brasiliensis (rubber tree). Lineage: Eukaryota; Viridiplantae; Streptophyta; Magnoliopsida; Malpighiales; Euphorbiaceae. The record is from RNAcentral.
ACAGAAAAUAUUAAUACAGAUGAAGACCCAAGUGGCUGGCGCCCGUAUCAUAUGUUUGUUGACAGCUUGCGUGAAAAGUAUGCUAAAAAUGAUGGUUUGCAAGAUGAGAAAGAAGAAAAUUCUACUAGACGUAGGGGUCGGCCCCCCAAAAAACAUACCAUACAGGGAAAGAGACUUUUUGAUGAGCAAAGUGCAAGUGAAGACGAGGA